CGCCCAUCUCCGCCUCCUCUCUCACGUCCUCCCUGCCGCCAUGGCCUAGACCACCCUCGUCAUCGACCUCCCCAAGCCCCCUCUCUCUCUCUCUCUCGGGGGUGCUGCUGGUCGCAAUCUGGACGAAGAAAAGGAGACCCCGGAAGAAGUUAGAGCGUCCUGGUGGUGGCUAGAUCGAUGCGGCCGACGGCGAGUGCCGGUGAGCGACGGGGAGGCCCCUACCUCUCUGCAUCUUCUCCCAGGUUCCCGAUCUGGAGCGGGUGGGACGGACGCCGGCGAGGCCAGCCCCCCCCUCACACGCAGCUGGAGCAUACUUGGUACAUGAGCCUUGCCGUGAGUGGUGGUGCAACGGUGACCUUGACGAGCAGGGCAAUGGCCAGACACGAGUAAGACACCAAAGAUGACUGGAAGCACUCAAAAAAGUUUACCACGCUGGAGCUAUGUCAGGUUGUACGAGGGCAGUUAAUGAAUAUACUUGCGACCCUUUUACUCUCAGGUAAAUCACUAAUUAUUACAUGAUCUUUCAUAGUUGAAGUACCUACCAAAGGUAGUUAUUUUAUCCUUCUAACACGAGCAAUGAACAUUUUUUGCCAUUAAUUAUGGUCACAUUAUUGCUUCUUGGUUAAAAAAAUUCAGUAGAGGGUUGUAGCUAUUUGGAGUGCAGAAUUAUUAAGUACAGAGCAAGGAUUCCAAUUGGUCAUACAUGAAGUGAUACUCUUGCAAGAGCUAUGCAAUUAAAGUUCAUUUAAUUACAGUUUCACCACACUAUGAAAAGGGUACAACCUACCAAUCUUGAGAGCAUUAAUGUAACAACUUUUUGUAGCUUAGAAAUCCAAUGGAAACUAAUAAGGUAAAUAUGCUUCUUUCUUGCAGACUUGCAGUUCUGUUUUAUUCAUUACCCUACUGCAAGCUCUUGGUCGUAUACUGUAUAUAAGUAAAUUGUCUUUGCUUCUUGGUCCAAGGGACAAAAUUGCUGAAUGAUUUUGGCAUCUCCUGAUUUUCCUUCUCCAUGGUUUGCCAUGUUCUGUGGUCUGAAUUUAGUUUCUUUUUCUUUGUCUAAAUUCUGUGCAAAUUCAUGGAACCCACACUGUUUGCAAGUUCGGUUUGCCUUUUUCCUUUAAAGAUUUGUACUGCUCUAUUUUUUUUUAAUUGUUGAGGCAACAAAAUACCCCUUAUGUCAUGUAUGCUUCUUUGAUAGCAGUUUAUUAAGUGCUUAUACCAUAAUAUCUCUGAUAUAAGUACUCUAAUUAUAAUAGUAGCAAUCUAAAUUUAUUAUUGGCUUGAAAAUAAAAUAUUUGUGAGGAUAGAAAGGAAAUAUCAGCUUCACUCUGCAUUUCUUAUAGAUGUACCUAGGAGAAAUGCAGAAUUAAGAAGAGCUAUUUUCAGAACACCACUAUCUAUAUCUCUAUAUAUAUGCGGAACUCAAAACUCUUUUUGAAGAUGGAUGGAUGAACUUGAUCCCUGUCCAUCUCUGCUUUUUGUCGGUACAUGAUUGUGCACCUCCUAUGCCUACUUAAUUGUGUGUUCAUUUUGUUAAUCAAGAAGCAUAUGAUUUUAUGGCUGGGUACGUUGAAAAUAUAUAAAACCUUUCUUCUUUUGGAUAAUCUGUUUCCCUUUCGCUAAUCUUUGUUACUUGCCUACACAUCUAUGCAUACUAUUCACUACUGCUACCAAUCCCAUGCUUGUUUGUUCAGAUACUUGAAUGGUGGAACAUGGCUUUUGUUCGAUGGCGAUUUUCCAUUCUUUGUAUGUGUUGCAUUCUUUUGUCCAAAAGUAGAGAUGUACUUUCUUCAAGAAGAAAAUGCUAAGUCUUUUACUAGCAAAGAUGUCGAUCUUGCACAUUUAGCUCUCUACGCACAGUCUCACUAUCAUCUUGUGUAGUUUAUUUAUAGGGGUUGAAUACAGAAUUUUAGCCCUCCUAUUUUAGAGUAUGAAUCGGAAUCUAAAUCAGCAAUUGUAAAAAUGAUCAGUAAUUGUGCUUACUUUUCAGACUCUCCUCCUUUUCUCGCUGCUGAACCCCUGCCAUCAUCAUGUCCACUCCGCGCCCGCCCCGUGCUCGACGUGCACAUCCUGAGCCCCGCGCCCCCUUGGCUCUCUCCUCUCCCUCCUUGUCGCCAACCCUAAACAUUUUCCCUCUCCACCCUACAGCCGCCUCCCCUAGCUCCUCGUCCCCUUCACUCAGUCCAUCCCUCAUCAUCUCGGAUCCAGCGGAUCUGAGGCGUGCGGGUGCGGAGGCGAGUUUCUCCGGCGGCGGCGGCGGCGGUCACCUGCAGGCAAAGGGCGGUGGCCGCACUCGAUUUGAUCUGCAGGAAAGAUAGAACAUGAGGAGAGAGAAGGAAGGAAAGGUGGAACGCCACCAUGGGCGAGGAGGGGCAACAUGGUCUUCGUGGUGGGAAUGGAGGAGCAGAGGAGGAUGGAGGUGGGUGGUGGGAGCAGAGUAGCAGGAGUUCCAGGUCCAGGCGACGCUCGUGGAGUGGAGAAGCUCGUCGUCCAGCAUCACCAUCCCCAAUCUAGAUCUGAGAUAGAAAAGAAGAGAAAUAAUCUUGUGGAAUUUCUUAUCUGAGAUAGAAAAGAAGAGAAAGAUCUUGUGGAAGAGCUUGACGAAAAAGAAAGGGAUCUGAGAUAGAAAAGAAGAGAAAUAAUCUUGUGGAAUUUCAUAUCUGAGAAAAGAAGAGAAAGAUUCUUGUGGAAGAGCAGCUUGA
This is a long non-coding RNA of Triticum aestivum (bread wheat), 2702 nucleotides long. RefSeq lists it as uncharacterized. Lineage: Eukaryota; Viridiplantae; Streptophyta; Magnoliopsida; Poales; Poaceae. The record is from RefSeq and is a predicted model, not a curated record. The transcript is spliced from 5 exons.